RNAcentral lists this long non-coding RNA (225 nucleotides) under Eucalyptus grandis. RNAcentral describes it as "long non-coding RNA (EGRA_LNC005944)". The record is from RNAcentral. Lineage: Eukaryota; Viridiplantae; Streptophyta; Magnoliopsida; Myrtales; Myrtaceae.
GAGAUUUCUAGGAACGGGGACUUGUUUACGCCAAUGUUUCUAUUAGCGCCCUUGCGGUACCACUAACUUGGAAAGUUGUUUAUCUAAAUGGCCAUACAAUCUUGAUUACCAAUUAUAAUCUUUAUGAAACCACUAAGUGUCCAUGCAAAUGUUUUUGUAGUUUUUUUUUUUUUAAUGUCUAGACUAAUCCUAACAUAAUUUAGAAGAGAAAUUUACACUCAAAAU